This is a long non-coding RNA of Oncorhynchus tshawytscha (Chinook salmon), 925 nucleotides long. RefSeq lists it as uncharacterized. The transcript has 2 exons. NCBI's taxonomy places the organism in Eukaryota, Metazoa, Chordata, Actinopteri, Salmoniformes, Salmonidae. The record is from RefSeq and is a predicted model, not a curated record.
AACAAUGACUAGUAAAUGAUCCAAGACCAGCUCAGUUAAUCCUUACCAUUGUGACAAUGAGUCGUCAUAAUGCUGCACCAAAUGUACAUGAUCUUAGGGGCAUUGACAAACAAUGUUACAAGAAUCUACAGUCUGAAGCAAUAUUCCUUGACCCAAGGACUGUACCUGAAAUUAUUUUUUUUUUUAAAUCACCGGUGAAGUGUUCAUUAGAGAAGUCCUUAUCAACCAGUGAAACAGAAGAAUUCCUCACUACGGCAGAAAAUCAUUUCUUAGUCAUCUACGUGGGACUGAUACCAGUGUGGAAGAGCUGGUCACUUUUAAAGGACUUGUGUGAGUUUCCUCCUAAUACAGGAUGUGGUAGGAAUCGCAAGGGAUAACAUUACACCUGUUGGAAAAUAAGUAUUAACACGUUGUUUUAAACCUAUUUGUUAUUGUAACAGCAAGUAAAAUAUGCCCUUUGUGUUUUAUAGAAAUGCAAGGUGUUUAAUGUAAAUUAGUUUAUGCUUACUAAUUUGUUUGAAUACAAUUUUUUCAUGUUCUCAAAAUCCAUUUUAAAGUAUAUAUUUUAAAUUAAAUAGUCUAGGGGGGAGUGUAAGAAUAUGUCGAAGAUAAAUACAAAACGCAGAGGACUAGAAUUACAAUCAAUAGAAAGUUGUUUCAGUUCAACAUCUGUUUAGAAUGUUAGGAAUAUCAGUCCUGAACUCAUAGCUAUGUGUGCAGUUUUCAUUGGUCUGAAUCAUCUGUACAUCGAGUCUGGAGCAGGAUACUUGUAAUUUGGCCCAGUUGUUCUGCAAGGACUUCUAAUUGGGUUAUAAAUUACAUCCUGUUGCUUUGUUCCAUGGCGAGAAUCACAAAGGACAGGGGAGCAUGAAUAUCUACCUCCCCGCAUGAUUUGUUCUUUGAAUAAACCUAUUAACGUCCCCCA